Mya arenaria is the source of this 368-nucleotide long non-coding RNA. RefSeq lists it as uncharacterized. Lineage: Eukaryota; Metazoa; Mollusca; Bivalvia; Myida; Myidae. The transcript has 3 exons. The record is from RefSeq and is a predicted model, not a curated record.
GUGAAAUAUACGCGUAAGAGAAGAUUUUCUCUCGAAAAAACGAACUGUCAACAAUCGGCAUGGAACUGGGAUAUUCGUAUCAAAGGGCUCUGAAUGCAGGAAAAUGACUGAAUAUUACUUAGUCAACAACACUGGGUUAUGAAGAAUUCCAGCCUGCAUUAAAUACUAUGUUGGAUCCUUGAGAGCGGAUUUAACAGCCAUGUCCAUCCACAAGGCAGUCGCAUCUGAUCGAGAUGAUCACUAAACAUUCUUGAUGGGUAAAGUACCUGAAGGUGCAUGAAAACCAAAUCAGCAUUGACUCAGCAUUGAGUUAUCAUCUGUGCACACACUACAAGUACAAAGCAUGGGAACAGACCAAACUUCAAAUG